Molecule: ribosomal RNA, 253 nt
Filed under: uncultured bacterium
Lineage: Bacteria
Description: partial 16S ribosomal RNA
Rfam family: Bacterial small subunit ribosomal RNA
Source: RNAcentral
UACGUAGGGGGCAAGCGUUGUCCGGAAUUAUUGGGCGUAAAGAGCGCGUAGGCGGUCCGAUAAGUCGGCUGUGAAAGUCAGGGGCUCAACCCUUGAAAGCCGGCCGAUACUGUCGGACUAGAGUCCGGAAGAGGCGAGUGGAAUUCCCGGUGUAGCGGUGAAAUGCGCAGAUAUCAGGAGGAACACCGGUGGCGAAGGCGGUUCUCUGGGCAUUACCUGACGCUGAGGAGCGAAAGUGUGGGGAGCGAACAGG